GGAAUCUCUGGGCAAGGCAGUCUCC
This 25-nucleotide unclassified non-coding RNA is filed under the name Mus musculus (house mouse). RNAcentral describes it as "oocyte_clustered_small_RNA40". Lineage: Eukaryota; Metazoa; Chordata; Mammalia; Rodentia; Muridae. The record is from RNAcentral.